CAGGAACUGAACUCACGUGUCUCACAUCUCCCGCAUUGACAGAAUCAAGGUGUCUGGAAACUGGAGUAUUUAUAAGAAGGUUAUCUGGGGACCAUAGAAUCAGAUUGAACUUGGAGAACUAGAUCACAGAAAACCCUAUAAAAUAAAUCUACACUCCAGUCCUCUAUCUCUGAUGACUUCAUUGAGCCUCACCAUCCCAUCUGCAGAAGGGGGCCUCAGACAUGACCAUCUCUAGAUCCUCAGAAGUAUUCCCUUGGGAAAAAGAAUCCAGACUUAAGUGCUCCUCCUGGUUCCAGGAAGGUAACUCAGAAAUCAUCACCCUUUGCCUUUUCCCACAGCGCCGUUAAACAGGGCUGGGCGAGAAAUGGCCGAGUCUGACAGGAGCCAGCGCAGGACAGAGAAAGGUCUCUCUUGACCACUCAUCCCUGACAGCGUGGUCAGUGUCCCAGGAAGGUCAAGGGGCCUCUCUCCAGACCUGAGGAUGAGUUAAGUUGCUGACAAGUGAAAAUGUUAUGGAACAGAAUGUCCUACACAAUUGAGAUUUACCUGUUAACACAGACACUGGACAUGCCAAGGAGGCCGAAGAAAGAGUUCUGUCUUCUGAACGGUGCCCACGGCCACCUUCAGCCCAACAGCACCGGCUGCCAACACGCUGUGUCUCUGGUUCCUUUCCCCUUUCUGAAAUUUUUGCAACCCCAUAAUUGCCUUGGUAGAACCUAGAUGUUCUGACUGAAAUGGUCUUCCCAAUAAUUCUAGCCUCUUUUAGUGAGAAAAUAUUCUACUGUACACAUAUUUGGGCUUCUCAGUCGGUAAAGAGUCCACUGCCAUACAUGAGACCCAGGUUCAGUCCCUGGGUUGGGAAGAU
Molecule: non-coding RNA, 865 nt
Organism: Odocoileus virginianus texanus
Lineage: Eukaryota; Metazoa; Chordata; Mammalia; Artiodactyla; Cervidae
Source: RefSeq, a predicted model, not a curated record